Long non-coding RNA from Eriocheir sinensis (Chinese mitten crab), 466 nucleotides. RefSeq lists it as uncharacterized. Lineage: Eukaryota; Metazoa; Arthropoda; Malacostraca; Decapoda; Varunidae. The transcript has 3 exons. The record is from RefSeq and is a predicted model, not a curated record.
GUACUGUACAAAACAUCAUGCUCAAUAGUACAAGAAACUGACCAACACAUUAUACUGAACUUGAGGUUACAGGAAAUAAAAAACAACAACAAUACAUUAAGAAAACAACCACAAUCUCCUCUAUAAUGUUGUGGUGGUGGUGGUGGCCAGUACCCUCAACACCACACAGUCCACCACAAUCUCCUCUAUAAUGUUGUGGUGCUGGUGGUGGUGGUGGUGGUGCAGGCCAGUACCCUCAACACCACAAAGUCCACCACAAUUUCCUCUAUAAUGUUGUGGUGAUGGUGGUGGUGGUGGUGGUGCAGGCCAGUACCCUCAACACCACAAAGUCCACCACAAUUUCCUCUAUAAUGUUGUGGUGAUGGUGGUGGCCAGUACCCUCAACACCACAAAGUCCACCACAAUUUCCUCUAUAAUGUUGUGGUGGUGGUGGUGGUGGUGGUGCAGGCCAGUACCCUCAACACCA